This 484-nucleotide ribosomal RNA is filed under the name uncultured bacterium. RNAcentral's name for it is "partial 16S ribosomal RNA". It matches the Rfam family "Bacterial small subunit ribosomal RNA", at positions 28 to 507 of the family's 1533-position model. The record is from RNAcentral.
AUUGAACGCUGGCGGCAUGCUUUACACAUGCAAGUCGAACGGCAGCGCGGGCUUCGGCCUGGCGGCGAGUGGCGAACGGGUGAGUAAUUCAUCGGAACGUGCCCAGUCGUGGGGGAUAGCCCGACGAAAGCCGGCUUAAUACCGCAUACGACCUGAGGGUGAACGCGGGGGACCGAAAGGCCUCGCGCUAUUGGAUCGGCCGAUGUCGUAUUAGCUAGUUGGUGGGGUAAAGGCUUACCAAGGCGACGGUCCGUAGCUGGUCUGAGAGGGCGACCAGCCACACUGGGACUGAGAAACCGUCCCGACUCCCAAGGGAGGGAGCAGUGGGGAAUUUUGGACAAUGGGGGCAACCCUGAUCCAGCCAUGCCGCGUGCGGGAAGAAGGCCUUCGGGUUGUAAACCGCUUUUGUUCGGGAAGAAAUCCUCUGGGCUAAUACCCCGGGGGGAUGACGGUACCGGAAGAAUAAGCACCGGCUAACUACGUG